Molecule: small RNA, 352 nt
Filed under: Arabidopsis thaliana (thale cress)
Lineage: Eukaryota; Viridiplantae; Streptophyta; Magnoliopsida; Brassicales; Brassicaceae
Description: ATSL266760
Source: RNAcentral
CACUACUUAGGCUUUUAAGAUCUGAUUGCGGUUCUAGUUCUUAUACUCAAUGAUACACAUGACAUCAAGUCAUAUUUGACUCCAAAACACUAACCAAGUUUCUUCUUGCUUCUCAAACAAAACUUUGAUGGUGUAGCUGAUGUCCGUAUGAGUCUUUGGCUUUGUAUCUUCUAACAAGGAAACACUACUUAGGCUAUUAAGAUUCGGUUGCGGUUUAAGUUCUUAUACUCAAUCAUACACAUGACAUCUAGUCAUAUUUGACUGCUAGAAACUAAUAAAGCUUCUUCUUGCUUCUCAAAGCCUUAUCGUGUAGUCGUAGUUCGUAUGAGUCUUUGUCUUUGUAUCUUCUAAU